AUACGAAUUAGGCAUUUUCGAUUGGGAAAUAUAAAAUUAAGCCGUUUGAACACAUAAUAUGUGUUCAAUUUGUUUUCAUAUACAUGGUAAAACAGGGUGUUUUGUGAGGUUAGCACAUUGAGUGUACGUGACAUUGAGUGUAGGCAACCAGGAAGAACGGACAACGGGAUUCUAACAAAGGAUUCUCGGCACGCGCCACGGAACGGCGAUAAGAACGCGUCAAUAGCGGCAGUGGUAAGUACGUCAAGUACGAGUGCCUGCUCCAUAUAGAACAUCGCCCCAGGACAGGGGCGUCGUUUCAAUUUUUGUAUUGUCAGUGCCAACAUUUUUGCAGACUAUUUUAAAUCAUUAACAGGCUACAAUUAUGGGCACUUUUUCAGAGGGUAGGGGCAGACACUUGUCCACUUGGAAAUAUACCUCUUUUGUCUUCUUUUUUUUUUUUUGCUUCUUCUGCCAAUUAUAUUGGAUUGGACAUUAUUUUCCUACACCUCCACAAUGAUCUAUCCCUAACCUCUCAUUUAUUCAAACCAGCUAUUUUCAUGUCAUCUUCUAUUCUAUCCAACCACUUUUUCUUCGGUAUUUAUUUCUAUGAUCACCAUCACUGCCACUAAAUCACAUCUCCCCAUAACUAAUAAGUAUAUUCUCUCAGUCGAAUUUCAAAAUGGUACAAUAAUAUUAAUUCCACUAUAUUCAUAUUUCUAUAUUUUUCCACUUACUCUUUUAAUGAAUAAAUUUAUUUAUUUAAUUUAUUAACAAAUCAUUAUACAAAUUUAAAAGUACAUUUUCAAUUGUCAUAAAACAAUAUUAUACAUUCAAUACUUGAAUUAAACGAUACUUGGAUACGUGGAUAUCUUCGAUUUUUUUUAAUUUAAAAAAUGUAUACACUCCGCCAUAAGGGUUAAUUUUAUUGGCCUAGUUUUUGUCAACACUAAUUAGUCACUUAGGCCCACAUCUCCCAUAACUGGCCUACGAUUAUUGAUUUGACUUUAUUGACCUUUAUUACUAUACAUAAUUUAUUAUAAUUGUGUACUUGUUAAACACCACAAAGAGUAAUAGUUAUGAAUAUUAUAAAAGUUAGUAAAAAUAAUUAUUAUGCAAUAUUUAAGAACUGUACGUUAAAAUUGACUUUUAACUUUGAAAUUUACUUAAUUAUAGUAACGCAUUAGAAAUAUGCUAACAAUUUCUAGAUUAUAAGCAUAGCAAAUUAUGCACUUGUUACAUUAACUUGAUUAUGAUAGGUUUAUUGUAACAGUUCAAAAAAUGAAUCGAAAUUAAAAAUUAUAAGAUCAAUUAAAACAAAUAUUUUAUUGACAUAUAAAAAUGUAGGUAGAUAAAUAAUAUAAAAUAGGUACCUAUAUUAAAUAGUAAUUUCUAAGUUGAAUAAAUUAAAACAAAAGAACACUGGAAAACAGUUAUACUUACAAAAUUAUUUGGUUUCUGAUUUUCAGCUACUGCUGUAGAGAACAUACCAAAUAAAUUAUGGCAUUUGGAACCCGCUGUCAAUAAAUAUUUUUUUAUUUUUUUCUCUUAAUCAAACCACACCUUUAUAUUUUUUUCGUUUUUGUUUUUUAUAAUACAAAAUACACACGUAGAAUACAGGUAAUAAAACAUCUAAUUAAAAAAAAAUUCGUCAUUUAUGUCAAAAUUGCUGACUUAAUAAUAAUUAAUCGAUCGAAUAAAUGUCAUGUAUAAAAAAAAAGACGAACAUAAUUCGCACGUGGGUGCAGCCACUAUUGUAAGUGGAAAGUUGGGAAGGUAAGGUACAGACGGAAAUUCAAUGUAUAUCUGUAAGCAACGAUAAACCGUUCCUAACGAAAAAACGAUUCUGAACGGAGUUCAGUUGAUAGUGCUGCUUUGUCAACAAUAUAUAAUAUGUCAUAAUUAUGGUAAACUGAUUACAACAAAUGUACGUUUUUAUAAUAACUAUGAUUGUUUAAAAAAAAGAUUAAAAUAAUAAAAACUCAAUAAUAACAAAAAAUAAAUAAAAACGGAUACCAAUGACAAUCUUAUUUUUAAUAUUUCAAUCUUUUUUAGCCUAAAGAACCAGGUUUUUUUCAUUAUCUCGAAUAUUCAUUAGAAUUUCAAACAAUUACCUCUUUGUUUAAAGAGUUUAGGGUUUUUUUCAUGUUUAUCAACCCAGAUAACAUUUCUUUUCAGAAAAGGUGUUAUACUUGAUAAUCGGAUUAAUUUUUCUGGUAGAAAAAAAAUUUACAUAAUAAAAAAAAAUAAUAAUAUCUUUGUAAAACCAACACAUCCUUUACUAAACUCAGAAUCUAAAAAUAUAAAAAUUAUAUAUUGAUAAAAACUAAAACCACUAAAAUAUUAGUUGUAUAAUAUUCGUUUAAUAAAAAUAAACGAUUUCACGUCCUUCUUGAUAUAGGUACUGAAGUAGUGUGGUAGGAAGUAAAUGAUAAGUUUUAAAAUGUUAACAAGGGAUGUUAUUUUUGGACUUAUUUUUUUCCCUUUUGCUGGGAAUUAUUAAUUUCGUUGUUUUAUCAUUAUCACAAUAUAACGAGUAGACAAUAAAGUUCCAACGACCUACGGGUGAUGUUUUUUUAGCUUAGAGAGAUCCUCUCGGGGAAAACAAUAACAUACGUAAAAACGGUGCGUUUUUCCCUAGACUACAGGCCAAGUAUCUAUGCGAUCAUUCCACAGAUAAAUAUACUAUACAGUGCAGUAUAGUAUAUUUAUCUGUGGUUCAUUAUUCUUAUAGCGCCUAUAAAUAAUAAUACAAUUAUGUAUUUAUUAUAAAUUUUUUUUAUGGUUGUCGGUCAGUAUUAUAAUAUUGUCAGACUAUGACGAACAUUUUUUUGAAAUUAAACACAUUAGCACAAUACAUUUUUAAUUUUUCUAAAUACUAACUCAAUAUAUGGCAUACAAAUCUUAGAUGUAAAAGCGCUUGUAUUUUAUUUUUGGCUGACCAAAGAUUUUUUAAAAACCAGUUGGUGUGAAUGUACAUCCUGCACUUUCCUAAAUGAUCGCCACUGCCUAAGGAAGAACGCACGGUAAUCUACAGCCAUAGAAUAUCGUGGGCCACACUAAUCCAUUGAUUUCACUGACCUUAACUGGUCAUCUCCGAGACGUAAAUUAGUAUUGCAAAUAUUAUAAUAAAAUAUAUCAUAACGAUCACUGUGAAAUCGUGUAAGUCUUAACUUUACCGAAGUCACCUCUAUUUGUAGCACGAGUAUAUCAUACACUAGAUAGAGGUGACCUCAAUAGACAGGACGUAAUAAUAGUUACAGGAAAUUGUCAUACACUGCAAAUACCCUGCAAUAUAUGCGGCAACUCGUAUUGUCCGGAAGAACACGUGCGUGUAUAGUAUUGUAUAUUUUUGAUAAAAAAAAAAAAAAAUCGGAUAUCGCUUUCAAUAGUCUGUUUUAUCGAUAUUUAUGGUAUUUGGUCAUGGUGACCGUAACUCGGUCUACUGAUAUUACUUAUUGAAUUUAAUUUCAAAUUCUCGAAAAUUUUAAUGCCCGAUUAAUCGCUGACGCCCGAUCAUGGGCAAACAAUUAUUAUGCAUCAGUCCUCGAGCAUAAACCGGAUAUUGAUAUGAACUUUAUUCAGAUUAUCCAGAUAACUCAAAUGUAUUUAAUCAUCUGCAGAAGUCCAGAUAGGGGAGGGGCUUAACGCGUCUCCAAAAAAUGACAUUUGUAUCAAUAAUAUACAAUGAAUAAAUCAUUUUAAGAUACCUACAUUGAUUAAAAUUAAUAAAGUAAUUAUUGAAAUAUUAUGGAAUUAUCCGGAUGUCUAUCCGGUUUAUCCGUUUUGUUCAAAUCCGGAUAAUUGACAUCACUACUCUCUAUAAAGGAACCCAUUUGUGUAAUGAACUAUUCUCUAUUAUAAAUGAAAUUUUUCCGUCUUAGCCGAGUAAUCAAUAUUUUACUAUGAAAAAAAGUAGCCCUUAAGAAUAAUCGUGAAACCCGCGCUGUUUACACAUGCAAAAUACCUUACGUCACUCACCAAAUUAAAACUACCAGUACCGCUACAAAUAAUACGGCGAGAUAGUACCACUGAUAAAAAUCACUCUGUAUUAAUCAUAUUGUUUGUUAUAUAUAAACAACUUAAAAGUGAAAUUAAAUAUUAAUGAGUACUUGUACCUAUUAUAAUAUAAUUGCGUUGAUUCGAGUGUUUCGACUGGUGAAUUACUAUUUCAUAAUACUGAUUAUCGUUUACUAUUGUGUAGACACACAAUUGUAUUAAAUAUUUUAACGACGGAACUGAAAUUUUAACAAUAAAACACUUUACACGGUAAUCGGUUUAGGGUUCGGAAAUUAUAUUACAUUUAAAAUCAAAAAUCAAAACGUCAAAAAAAAAAUCCUGAAAAAAGCAUAUUAAAAGUAGAAGGGUUUAAAAGUACCCACCCCCCUCUCUAAUGACUAAACUUAUUAAAUGCAAUAAUACUGCACAAAUAAUUAUUACAAAUAAUUAUUUUUAUUUUUUAUAAUCCGUGCCUGUACAAUUUAAUUUAAGCAAACACUUCUUUGUAUAAUAUUACGAGGGGGGAAGGAGACUUUUAAAUCCACCUACGAUAAUUAAAUUUAUUAAUUAUUUUUCAAGUGCUUCUCUGAUUUUUUAAGCUUUUUAUACAUUGUCAUAUCAAAUGAUCCAGCGAUUGUACACGAACAUUUUCAGUAAAAUUUAUUUUGGUGUUUAUAUAUCAAAUAUAGAAUAAUUUUAUUUACAAUAUUUUCAACGUUUUACUCUUAUCCCCUUUGAUAAACAUACAUUAUCUACAACGUUUGUUUUUCGAAUAGUAACCUAUCCUUCUAUUUUCAAACCAGGAGGACCGUAGAUUCUCUUUUUAAAAAUAUUCGUUUAUAAAUAUAUUAUAUUUUUUUUGUUUUAGUUAAUUAUGAAAAUAAAUUGAUAAUGUCUUUUAUAUUAUUGUGGCAGGUGUGUGGAAUGGAAACUUCUGUACCCUUCAUCUGAAAAGUGAGAGGUUUGAGUAAUAAUUAUAAUCAGUAAUACAAUAUGAUGUAAAAUCCGUCAAAAGGUACGCUGAACGGGGAUGUGGCUAUCCUCACAAGUCUGCACCUACGCUCGAGUGUAAAUAAAUCGUGAUAAUUUUUGCACCCUCGUGAAUAUUCGAUACCGAGUGCAGCUUACGCCUAUACAUUAUACUCUUUUAGUUAAUUGUAUUAUUAUACUAGUUUCGACAUGAAAUUUUGGAUUUUUUUUUUUUGUAAACAAUAUCUAUACGUAUUGAGACGAGAGAG
Molecule: long non-coding RNA, 5216 nt
Filed under: Cinara cedri
Lineage: Eukaryota; Metazoa; Arthropoda; Insecta; Hemiptera; Aphididae
Source: RNAcentral